GGGGAAUAUUGGACAAUGGGCGAAAGCCUGAUCCAGCCAUGCCGCGUGUGUGAAGAAGGUCUUCGGAUUGUAAAGCACUUUAAGUUGGGAGGAAGGGUUGUAGUUUAAUACGCUGCAAUCUUGACGUUACCAACAGAAUAAGCACCGGCUAACUCUGUGCCAGCAGCCGCGGUAAUACAGAGGGUGCAAGCGUUAAUCGGAAUUACUGGGCGUAAAGCGCGCGUAGGCGGCUUGAUAAGAUGGGUGUGAAAUCCCCGGGCUUAACCUGGGAACUGCAUCCAUAACUGUCUGGCUAGAGUACAGUAGAGGGUGGUGGAAUUUCCUGUGUAGCGGUGAAAUGCGUAGAUAUAGGAAGGAACACCAGUGGCGAAGGCGACCACCUGGACUGAUACUGACGCUGAGGUGCGAAAGCGUGGGGAGCAAACAGG
This 428-nucleotide ribosomal RNA is filed under the name uncultured bacterium. RNAcentral's name for it is "bacterial SSU rRNA". It matches the Rfam family "Bacterial small subunit ribosomal RNA", at positions 356 to 776 of the family's 1533-position model. The record is from RNAcentral.